AACGAACGCUGGCGGCAUGCCUAACACAUGCAAGUCGAACGAGACCUUCGGGUCUAGUGGCGCACGGGUGCGUAACGCGUGGGAACCUGCCCUUAGGUUCGGAAUAACUCCCCGAAAGGGGUGCUAAUACCGGAUAAUGUCUUCCGACCAAAGAUUUAUCGCCUUUGGAUGGGCCCGCGUUGGAUUAGCUAGUUGGUAGGGUAAAAGCCUACCAAGGCGACGAUCCAUAGCUGGUCUGAGAGGAUGAUCAGCCACACUGGGACUGAGACACGGCCCAGACUCCGACGGGAGGGAGCAGUGGGGAAUAAUGGACAAUGGGCGAGAGCCUGAGCCAGCAAGGCCGCGAGAGUGAUGAAGGCGGUAGGGUUGGAAAGCUCUUUUACCCGGGAUGACAAUGACAGAACCGGGAGAAUAAACUCCGGCUAACUCCGU
RNAcentral lists this ribosomal RNA (432 nucleotides) under uncultured bacterium. Its description in RNAcentral is "partial 16S ribosomal RNA". It matches the Rfam family "Bacterial small subunit ribosomal RNA", at positions 29 to 506 of the family's 1533-position model. The record is from RNAcentral.